This is a long non-coding RNA of Eriocheir sinensis (Chinese mitten crab), 1022 nucleotides long. RefSeq lists it as uncharacterized. The record is from RefSeq and is a predicted model, not a curated record. NCBI's taxonomy places the organism in Eukaryota, Metazoa, Arthropoda, Malacostraca, Decapoda, Varunidae. The transcript has 2 exons.
CGGUGAUGCAGCACACACUAUCACACCUGGGGGCCUGUCUGCCACACCUGUCUGUCUCCUCGCACACCUGGCGGGCCCUCGGGGAAGCACGCGGUGAUCAGGUGGGACAGGUGAAGGGGAUUAUGGUUCCUUGGGUGACGUAGCCAGUAGGAAAACACCACAACACUGACACAAGGGGAUCGGGGGCCACAGGUAGAGUUAGAGUCCCCAGGUAGCGUGGUCAACAGGUAAGUUCAAUUUUGGUUCCUCAAGUGACGUGGGUAGAAGGUAAACAACACCGCAACACAGCACAAGGGAUCAGGCGCCACAAGUGAAGUUAAGGUCCCCAGGUAGCGUGGUCAACAAACAGGUAAGUUCAAUUUUGGUUCAAGUGACGUGGGUGGUAGGAAAACAACACAGCACAAGGGCAUCGGCGCAAGAGUGAAGUUGGAGUCCCCAGGUAGUGUAGUUAACAGGUAAGUUCGAUUAUGGUUCCUCGGGUGACGUGGGUAGGAGGUAAACAACAGCACAACACAAGGGCAUCGGGCGCCACAGGUGAAGAUUAAGUCCCCAGGUGGCGCUAUGAACAGGUAAAGCACCAAUACGUAACACCACAACACCACAGAAGCAACACACGGGAGUCAGGUGUUCGGCCUCUUGCAGACUCCUCCUUAUGUUCUUAAAUCCGAUCAGACUCAGAUGAGGUAGAUUACACGGAGCAACACCACGACGACCACUAAACUCCACCACGCACGCACCAGCACCUCCACUAACACCACACGCCGCCUUGUCCUCCCUGUCCCGCACUAAUCACUGCUCUGCUCUCGUCCGCGGCCACGCCCUGCAACGCCUGGGCUCCCGAGGCAUCAACUGAACUGACUGCCUCGCCUCGUCCCGCCCAACCCUGCUCUGACGCGGUGGUGGUGGUGGUGGCGGUGGUGCCCUUGAGAGCCGCGACCACAGCCAGGAUGGGGGGUGGUGGACACGUGCCCUCCUUACCUCUCUCUCUCUCUCUCUCUCUCUCUCUCUCUCUCUCUCUCUCU